UACGUAGGGGGCAAGCGUUGUCCGGAAUCAUUGGGCGUAAAGCGCGCGUAGGCGGCCCGGUAAGUCCGUUGUGAAAGUCAAAGGCUCAACCUUUGAACGCCGAUGGAUACUGCCGGGCUAGAGUCCGGAAGAGGCGAGUGGAAUUCCUGGUGUAGCGGUGGGAUGCGCAGAUAUCAGGAGGAACACCAAUAGCGAAGGCAGCUCGCUGGGACGGUACUGACGCUGAGGCGCGAAAGCGUGGGGAGCGAACAGG
This 253-nucleotide ribosomal RNA is filed under the name uncultured bacterium. Its description in RNAcentral is "partial 16S ribosomal RNA". It matches the Rfam family "Bacterial small subunit ribosomal RNA", at positions 524 to 776 of the family's 1533-position model. The record is from RNAcentral.